UUAAUAUGGCAGAAAAGUGCAAUAGACUUAAACUCUAUAUCAUAAAGUUUUUUAAAUCUUUUAUUAAA
Molecule: transfer RNA, 68 nt
Filed under: Camponotus nearcticus
Lineage: Eukaryota; Metazoa; Arthropoda; Insecta; Hymenoptera; Formicidae
Description: tRNA-Leu
Source: RNAcentral